CUUGACAUCCAGCGAACUUGGCAGAGAUGCCUUGGUGCCUUCGGGAACGCUGAGACAGGUGCUGCAUGGCUGUCGUCAGCUCGUGUUGUGAAACGUUGGGUUAAGUCCCGCAACGAGCACAACCCUUAUCCUUUGUUGCCAGCGAUUCGGUCGGGAACUCAAAGGAGACUGCCGGUGAUAAACCGGAGGAAGGUGGGGAUGACGUCAAGUCAUCAUGGCCCUUACGAGUAGGGCUACACACGUGCUACAAUGGCGCAUACAAAGAGAAGCGACCUCGCGAGAGCAAGCGGACCUCAUAAAGUGCGUCGUGGUCCGGAUCGGAGUCUGCAACUCGACUCCGUGAAGUCGGAAUCGCUAGUAAUCGUGGAUCAGAAUGCCACGGUGAAUACGUUCCCGGGCCUUGUACACACCGCCCGUCACACCAUGGGAGUGGGUUGCAAAAGAAGUAGGUAGCUUAACCUUCGGGAGGGCGCUUACCACUUUGUGAUUCAUGACUGGGGUGAAGUCGUAACAAGGUAGGCGUAGCGAG
This 529-nucleotide ribosomal RNA is filed under the name uncultured bacterium. Its description in RNAcentral is "bacterial SSU rRNA". It matches the Rfam family "Bacterial small subunit ribosomal RNA", at positions 980 to 1509 of the family's 1533-position model. The record is from RNAcentral.